AAAAAUGAAACAUAAAUCAACACAUAAAUAACUGCAUAAACUACCCAUCCAGUUGCACCAGACAACAAAAUUCUCAAUAUAAUCCACUGGAUUUACCAUGUAAACAGACAAAAUGAAGGAAGGCAUACGUCCAAUUGUUGGUAUUCUCAGAUUCCGAGAUUGCAUAGUUUUUUAAGCGAAAUUAAUUACCCUACAAUCAAAACUACAUAAGCCCCAAAUCGAAUCCGAUCACUCCUUUUCCCCCAUACAAUUACCUAACCCGAUGCAUACCAAGCGCCAAACACCUAAAGAUUCUUACUUCGUUUGAGAGAGAGAAAUUAAAAUUAAAAUAAAAAGUACCCGAUUAAACACAGAUCAACCUGAACCAGAAUCAAACCAACAAAACAUAAUUAGAGGAAAACGUUUAAAUUAUUAAAAAAAACAAAAAAGAGGUUCAGGAAUUACAAAGCAAAAGGAGUUGAA
This 462-nucleotide unclassified non-coding RNA is filed under the name Hevea brasiliensis (rubber tree). Lineage: Eukaryota; Viridiplantae; Streptophyta; Magnoliopsida; Malpighiales; Euphorbiaceae. The record is from RNAcentral.